CUAGCAGAGAGGUCGAAAAAAUAAAAUGAAAGCAAGUUUUAGUUCGCUAGGUAAAACACACCAGCAUAACCACAUCAGAUCCCAACAAUCCAGCCGCAAAAUCCAAGAACACAAACACACGUGGAUGCAGAAAUCGGCUAGAAAUCCGAGAAGGUACGAACACAUGGAAGAGCACAAGAACUCAUGCAUGCAGCAACCAGGCAUGGAUCCAAGUACAAGUAUAAACAGAAGCAUAUAUUCAAUAACACACACACACAUGCAUGCAGAUGUCAGCUAACAGAUCCCAUACAAGCUGGCACAGCUGUAUAAACGAAAGACAUAUCGGCUACAUCUGCGAUUAGCAGAUCAUGACGCGCAGCUACAAACUCAAGACGACGCACCACAUCCUCAGCAACCGGCAAACCUAG
This 407-nucleotide long non-coding RNA is filed under the name Brachypodium distachyon (stiff brome). RNAcentral describes it as "long non-coding RNA (BDIS_LNC003410)". Lineage: Eukaryota; Viridiplantae; Streptophyta; Magnoliopsida; Poales; Poaceae. The record is from RNAcentral.